CGGUGAAACCGCGAAUGGCUCAUUAAAUCAGCUAUGGUUCCUUAGAUCGUACAUGCUACAUGGAUAACUGUAGUAAUUCUAGAGCUAAUACAUGCCACUAUGCCCUGACCCGCAAGGGAACGGGUGGAUUUAUUAGAACAGAACCAACCGGGUUCGGCUUCGGCCGUUCCUGUUGCACUCUGUGAUGACUCUGGAUAACUUUACUGAUCGCAGUCGGCCUUGUGUCGGCGACGGAUCUUUCAAAUGUCUGCCCUAUCAACUUUCGAUGGUAGGUGAUCUGCCUACCAUGGUGAUAACGGGUAACGGGGAAUCAGGGUUCGAUUCCGGAGAGGGAGCCUGAGAAACGGCUACCACAUCCAAGGAAGGCAGCAGGCGCGAAAAUUACCCACUCCCGGCACGGGGAGGUAGUGACGAAAAAUACGAAUACGGGACUCACUCGAGGCUCCGUAAUUCGAUUGAGUACAAUCUAAAUCCUUUAACGAGGACCAAUUGGAGGGCAAGUCUGGUGCCAGCAGCCGCGGUAACUCCAGCUC
Molecule: ribosomal RNA, 533 nt
Filed under: Posthodiplostomum sp. 3 SAL-2008
Lineage: Eukaryota; Metazoa; Platyhelminthes; Trematoda; Diplostomida; Diplostomidae
Description: SSU rRNA
Rfam family: Eukaryotic small subunit ribosomal RNA
Source: RNAcentral